Long non-coding RNA from Ornithodoros turicata, 288 nucleotides. RefSeq lists it as uncharacterized. Lineage: Eukaryota; Metazoa; Arthropoda; Arachnida; Ixodida; Argasidae. The record is from RefSeq and is a predicted model, not a curated record. The transcript has 3 exons.
AAAAGGCUCACCAAUAACAGCGCAAACUAUCCAGAUUUAGCUCUUCCUGGUCUGGAAAACUUUACUAGUGACCAAAUGUUUUUCAUCUCAAACGCUGUAGUAUGGUGUGACACCAUGCACGACGAAGCAAUGCGACAAAGGAUUCAGUACAAGCCACACAGCCCUGCGAAAUACAGGACUCUGGUACCUAUGAGCAACAUGGAAGCAUUUUCAGCGGCAUUUUCAUGCGAAGAAGGCAAGCCAAUGAAUCGAACCAAAAAAUGUAGAGUGUGGUAAAUAAAAGUUGCG